GACGAACGCUGGCGGCGUGCUUAACACAUGCAAGUCGAGCGGUAAGGCUCCUUCGGGAGUCCACGAGCGGCGAACGGGGGAGUAACACGUGAGUAAUCUGCCCUUCACUUCGGGAUAACCACCGGAAACGGUGGCUAAUACCGAAUACGACCAGUCUUCGCAUGAGGUGCUGGUGGAAAGUCUUUUCGGUGGAGGAUGUGCUCGCGGCCUAUCAGCUUGUUGGUGGGGUAAUGGCCUACCAAGGCUUCGACGGGUAGCCGGCCUGAGAGGGUGACCGGCCACACUGGGACUGAGACACGGCCCAGACUCCUACGGGAGGCAGCAGUGGGGAAUAUUGGACAAUGGGCGAAAGCCUGAUCCAGCAACGCCGCGUGAGGGAUGACGGCCGUCGGGUUGUAAACCUCUUUCAGUACCGACGAAGCGCCCUGUCGGGUGGUGACGGUAGGUACAGAAGAAGGACCGGCCAACUACGUG
Molecule: ribosomal RNA, 474 nt
Filed under: uncultured bacterium
Lineage: Bacteria
Description: partial 16S ribosomal RNA
Rfam family: Bacterial small subunit ribosomal RNA
Source: RNAcentral